UAAAGCGUGCGUAGGUGGUUUGUUAAGUCUGAUGUGAAAGCCCUGGGCUCAACCUGGGAAUUGCAUUGGAUACUGGCAGGCUAGAGUGCGGUAGAGGGUAGUGGAAUUCCCGGUGUAGCGGUGGAAUGCGUAGAGAUCGGGAAGAACACCAAUGGCGAAGGCAGUCCGCUGGGCCGUUGCUGACGCUGAGGCGCGACAGCGUGGGGAGCAAACAGG
RNAcentral lists this ribosomal RNA (216 nucleotides) under uncultured bacterium. RNAcentral's name for it is "partial 16S ribosomal RNA". It matches the Rfam family "Bacterial small subunit ribosomal RNA", at positions 561 to 776 of the family's 1533-position model. The record is from RNAcentral.